This is a long non-coding RNA of Oncorhynchus tshawytscha (Chinook salmon), 387 nucleotides long. The record is from Ensembl. Lineage: Eukaryota; Metazoa; Chordata; Actinopteri; Salmoniformes; Salmonidae.
CCAGGUUUAACUAUUUACUGUAUGUAUGACAUUGUUAGGCUGGGGAGACCAGGUUGAACUAUUUACUGUAUUUAUGACAUUGUUAGACUGGGGAGACCAGGUUUAACUAUUUACUGUAUGUAUGACAUUGUUAGGCUGGGGAGAGCAGGUUUAACUAUUUACUGUUUGUAUGACAUUGUUAGACUGGGGAGACCAGGUUUAACUAUUUACUGUAUGUAUGACAUUGUUAGACUGGGGAGACCAUGUUUAACUAUUUACUGUAUGUAUGACAUUGUUAGACUGGGGAGACCAUGUUCAACUAUUUACUGUAUGUAUGACAUUGACAUUGUUAGACUGGGGAGACCAGGUUUAACUAUUUACUGUUUGUAUGACAUUGUUAGACUGGGG